UUAAGCAAGUAUCCAUUGAGAGGGGUCAGAGGAUUAGCUCAAACUCCAACAUAUCUAGCUGCUACCUUGCUUAUCAUAGCUGCUACCUCAAUCGCUGUAUUUUUUUGUGUUUUUCCCCCCUGUGGCAUUUAUUCUGUGCACAUGAACACGUUUUCAGAAUUGCUAUGUGUAACUCAGACGGUUACUCUUGUGUGUUUUGCUGCUAGUUGUGCGAACGAGCCAGACAAACCAGCUGGGAGGAGGACGGAAGCACCCCUUCUCCAUCCGCGUUCAGUUGCUAAAUACGGAUCCACCCCGUAGUGUGGUGUUUUCCAUAGCUGUUCCUUGCUCCUGUUUCACAACAUAUCAAGGCUGCCAAGUAAAUGAAGAAUGAAUCACCGCACACUGGUCAACAGCCGACAGGGUCCUUCCACAACCACAUACUUAUGCCAGUAAAAGCCACAGCUUUUCUCCUCCAAUCCAAGAAGCCUGGACUGCAGUCACCAUCUCAACACACCAACCAAGAGAAAGGCGGAUGGCUCAAUUCAAUAUGGAAAAUUGCACAAUAAAAGUUCCAGGACAUGAAGGCUGCAUACUGUGAACGUCAACCUUCAGGGCACCGUCCUGCGCAGAAGACUUUCUACCCUAAGAGGGAUGGCUGACCGCAGACACUCACAACCAGCACAGACGCCUCCAACCUCAAACUAGGCCCUUCACAGUUGCUGCACUUACCCACCUUCCCAGAGUUUUUGUGUGGUAAUGACAACUGUAAAUAUAGUAUAAAGUAAUGUAUCUAGUGUCAUGUGUAAUACAUUGUUUAAAUUGUCCAUACAUUUCAAUGACAGUAAAUAUUGGUGGACACAAUUUGACUGUGUGGCUUUUUUUAAUUCAUUCUCUGA
Long non-coding RNA from Engraulis encrasicolus (European anchovy), 878 nucleotides. RefSeq lists it as uncharacterized. Lineage: Eukaryota; Metazoa; Chordata; Actinopteri; Clupeiformes; Engraulidae. The transcript is spliced from 5 exons. The record is from RefSeq and is a predicted model, not a curated record.